CCUACGGGAGGCUGCAGUGGGGAAUAUUGCACAAUGGGCGCAAGCCUGAUGCAGCCAUGCCGCGUGUGUGAAGAAGGCCUUCGGGUUGUAAAGCACUUUCAGCGGGGAGGAAGGCGUUAAGGUUAAUAACCUUGUCGAUUGACGUUACCCGCAGAAGAAGCACCGGCUAACUCCGUGCCAGCAGCCGCGGUAAUACGGAGGGUGCAAGCGUUAAUCGGAAUUACUGGGCGUAAAGCGCACGCAGGCGGUCUGUCAAGUCGGAUGUGAAAUCCCCGGGCUCAACCGGGGAACUGCAUUCGAAACUGGCAGGCUAGAGGCUUGUAGAGGGGGGUAGAAUUCCAGGUGUAGCGGUGAAAUGCGUAGAGAUCUGGAGGAAUACCGGUGGCGAAGGCGGCCCCCUGGACAAAGACUGACGCUCAGGUGCGAAAGCGUGGGGAGCAAACAGGAUUAGAUACCCCAGUAGUC
This 465-nucleotide ribosomal RNA is filed under the name uncultured Klebsiella sp. RNAcentral's name for it is "bacterial SSU rRNA". It matches the Rfam family "Bacterial small subunit ribosomal RNA", at positions 338 to 795 of the family's 1533-position model. The record is from RNAcentral. Lineage: Bacteria; Pseudomonadati; Pseudomonadota; Gammaproteobacteria; Enterobacterales; Enterobacteriaceae.